AACUAACGCUGGCGGCGUGCCUAACACAUGCAAGUCGUACGAGAAAGCCGGCUUCGGCUGGUGAGUAAAGUGGCGCACGGGUGAGUAACGCGUGGAUAAUCUGCCCUUAAGUGUGGAAUAACGUACCGAAAGGUGCGCUAAUACCGCAUAAUGCCUGGCAACACAAGUUGUCCGGCCAAAGAAGGCCUCUGUUUACAAGCUUUCGCUUCAGGAUGAGUCCGCGUACCAUUAGCUUGUUGGUGGGGUAAUGGCCUACCAAGGCUGCGAUGGUUAGCUGGUCUGAGAGGAUGAUCAGCCACACUGGAACUGAGACACGGUCCAGACUCCUACGGGAGGCAGCAGUGAGGAAUAUUGCGCAAUGGGGGCAACCCUGACGCAGCAACGCCGCGUGAGUGAGGAAGGUUUUCGGACCGUAAAGCUCUGUCGAGUGGGAAGAAGUGUAUCAUGGCUAAUAUCCGUGAUAUUUGACGGUACCGCUAGAGGAAGCACC
Molecule: ribosomal RNA, 490 nt
Filed under: uncultured bacterium
Lineage: Bacteria
Description: bacterial SSU rRNA
Rfam family: Bacterial small subunit ribosomal RNA
Source: RNAcentral